Molecule: non-coding RNA, 557 nt
Organism: Biomphalaria pfeifferi
Lineage: Eukaryota; Metazoa; Mollusca; Gastropoda; Planorbidae
Source: the annotation of a GenBank genome assembly
GACCAAAGAUAUGAGGUUCCAAUGUAAGUAUCAUUACAUAUAGUAACCUUUCACUACAUACAUAUAUAUAUAUAUAUUAUAUUUUAUAAAAUUUAAAAAGUAUAAUUAACACUAAAAAUGUUUGUUUUAAUGUUCACAAAAAGUACACAACUAAAUUUUCAUUUCACAAAUAAUCUACUUUUUUCCCCAAUGUUUUUAAUUUUAUUCUUCUUUCAGAUACAAGAUACAUAUAUCACCACUCAACAAGAUGUUUAUUGACUAAACCAACAUAAAAUAAAAAUUAAAAAAUUGAUACAACUUCCCUUUCAAUGAUAUGCAUCAGUGCCCAUCCCAUAUAACCUUGAAGACAUGUCUGACACAAAGCGUUGCCUCAGAGAAAUCAUAUUUCGGAAGAAGUUUUGUGUCAUGGGCGGGACGUGGUUGGGCAUCACAACACUACAGACACUCAGCAUGUCAUACAACAGAACAAAAAAAAAACUAUCAUUGCAUGGAGACACAAACUUGUUUAAUUUUUACAAAGAAUAAAUAGUUGAGAAAAAAAAAAAAAGCCCUUUUCC